CGGCUGCCGGAGCGGCGGCUGCGGCUGCUGGUCGCCUGCGGCGCCGCCGGCGGGAUCUCGGCGACGUUCAACGCGCCGAUCGCCGGC
RNAcentral lists this transfer RNA (87 nucleotides) under Actinocatenispora comari. RNAcentral's name for it is "tRNA-Arg". Lineage: Bacteria; Bacillati; Actinomycetota; Actinomycetes; Micromonosporales; Micromonosporaceae. The record is from RNAcentral.